AUACGAAGGGGGCUAGCGUUGUUCGGAAUUACUGGGCGUAAAGCGCGCGUAGGCGGAUACUUAAGUCAGGGGUGAAAUCCCGAGGCUCAACCUCGGAACUGCCCUUGAUACUGGGUAUCUUGAGUUCGAGAGAGGUAAGUGGAAUUCCGAGUGUAGAGGUGAAAUUCGUAGAUAUUCGGAGGAACACCAGAGGCGAAGGCGGCUUACUGGCUCGAUACUGACGCUGAGGCGCGAAAGCGUGGGGAGCAAACAGGAUUAGAUACCCCGGUAGUCC
Molecule: ribosomal RNA, 274 nt
Filed under: uncultured bacterium
Lineage: Bacteria
Description: partial 16S ribosomal RNA
Rfam family: Bacterial small subunit ribosomal RNA
Source: RNAcentral